This 1605-nucleotide long non-coding RNA is filed under the name Equus caballus (horse). RNAcentral describes it as "lncRNA (ENSECAG00000036166.2)". Lineage: Eukaryota; Metazoa; Chordata; Mammalia; Perissodactyla; Equidae. The record is from RNAcentral.
AGAACGCACAGGACCAAACAAUUCUUAUGGGAAGACUAGGUCUUUUGAUCUCUCUCACUUAAAAAAAGAUAAGAUCUUCCCUUUUGUCUCAGCUCACAAUAUGUAAUUUUUUAAAGGACCACAAAGGCGAAAAAUAUUGAGGAUCUCAAAUAUUCACACCCAAGAAUCUACUUCAUCAGACGGUUAAGAGAGUCAGAGGGACAUUCAGAGGACUUUGAAGAGUCCACAGCCUGCCUUCUCUUCCCUGAACGGACAAGCUCAGUCAGCUGUGACCGGGAAUGCUGCUGCUCUAGCGUGCAGCUGCAUUUCUCCUGCAGGCUCAGAGAGAGAACUCGGUCACUUGGCCCAGCCUGGACCAGAGUUGGCUGGUCACCUAGGACAGAACAGCCUUCUGGAUAUGGUUGAUGUUUUCCUCACUAGCUUAGCCCAGGAAGAAGAACAUUCAGAUUUACUGUCCAUCUGAAACCAAGAAAACCGUUGUAUGACCUUAAGUUCCUUGAAAUAUUUGCAUUGAAAGAGUUGCAUGGGUCAAAUAAUCACAAAUAAAGGACCCAAUUUCCUUCUGUGCCGGAGAAGACACAGUGGACUCUUUGGGAUUGUUUGUCCUUCUCUUGCUUUCCUGCCAGCUUCCACAAAACGAUGCCAGUGGGGUCCAGGAACCUGGAUCCAGGCUGCAGAGUGUGGCUGAAGGAGGCUGUCAUCCAGUCUCUGUGGGUGCAGGGAGGGCCCACUGCCUUGUAGCUGUGGAGCUGACACUUUCUGUGAGAGAGGUGAUCCUGGGGUAGGACGUGGUACUUAGUAGGGGCACAAUCAAUGAAUGAACCUGGAGUAAACCUAGAACCAUUCUGUCGCUCAGCAUUCAACAACCACUUGCUAAGGGCCCGCCAUGUGAUGAUUCAAGGGCAGUAAAAGGCAGAGAUGUGCUCCUACACUCAGAGCUCCCAGUCUGGCUGUUCUGGGAGCAGGCUGGUGAGGUGCCUGUGGCCUGACCUCACAGCCCUCCCCAGUCAGUUCUGCAGAGGCGCAGGAAGAUGUGGAGUUUGAACUGAGCCUUGAAGAUUUCAAGAAGCACUGACAGAAGAGGAAGGCAUUCCAAGCCGGGUCUUGUGUGGGGAAGGACGUGGAGGCAGUAGAGAGACAGCGAGUGCUGCUUGGCCUGCAGGGUCCAAGUAGGGAAGUGGCUGGAAAGCUAAGUGAGGACCGGACGGGAAAGUCCUAUAGAGCAGCCUGAGCAGUGCCCAAGCAGCUGAAGGAUUUUGAGCAGGAAGAUGGCAUGAUCAGAGCUGGCACUGGAUGGUUAUUCUGGGGUAAAUGUAGCUAGGGAACUGUAACUCCUUAUUCUUAGGGGCAUGUUAGGGAUGGAAUUUUGGUUCUGAAAUGCACCCCUAUGUCUUAUGUCAUUUCUACCUCGUGGAUGAAGUUUUGAUUUGUAAGUUAUUUUAUACUGUCUUUGGAAAGGAUUGUCUUUGCCAGGGGAUUUAUUUUUAUAUUUCCUGAGCCCUUCCUUCAGAUAGCUUAUAUUUUAGUUGAGAGACAAGACUAGAACACGUGAAAGAACAAUACAAAGCAAAAUGCAAGAUUCAGUUCAGACUAGAAGUUCUUGAG